CCUACGGGGGGCAGCAGUGGGGAAUAUUGCACAAUGGGGGAAACCCUGAUGCAGCGACGCCGCGUGAGUGAAGAAGUAAUUCGUUACGUAAAGCUCUAUCAGCAGGGAAGAAAUACUGACCUUACGGUCAGCAGACGGUACCUGAGUAAGAAGCCCCGGCUAACUACGUGCCAGCAGCCGCGGUAAUACGUAGGGGGCAAGCGUUAUCCGGAUUUACUGGGUGUAAAGGGAGCGUAGACGGUGCGCCAAGGCUGGAGUGAAAUGCCGCAGCUUAACUGCGGAACUGCUUUGGAAACUGGCGAACUAGAGUGCGGGAGGGGUAAGCGGAAUUCCUAGUGUAGCGGUGAAAUGCGUAGAUAUUAGGAAGAACACCGGUGGCGAAGGCGGCUUACUGGACCGUAACUGACGUUGAGGCUCGAAAGCGUGGGGAGCAAACAGGAUUAGAUACCCGAGUAGUC
This 458-nucleotide ribosomal RNA is filed under the name uncultured bacterium. RNAcentral's name for it is "partial 16S ribosomal RNA". It matches the Rfam family "Bacterial small subunit ribosomal RNA", at positions 338 to 795 of the family's 1533-position model. The record is from RNAcentral.